This 24-nucleotide non-coding RNA is filed under the name Arabidopsis thaliana (thale cress). The record is from RNAcentral. Lineage: Eukaryota; Viridiplantae; Streptophyta; Magnoliopsida; Brassicales; Brassicaceae.
GUUGGUGCAGCAAGCUCGGUUUAC